RNAcentral lists this ribosomal RNA (274 nucleotides) under uncultured bacterium. RNAcentral's name for it is "partial 16S ribosomal RNA". It matches the Rfam family "Bacterial small subunit ribosomal RNA", at positions 523 to 796 of the family's 1533-position model. The record is from RNAcentral.
AUACGGAGGGGGCUAGCGUUGUUCGGAAUUACUGGGCGUAAAGGGCGCGUAGGCGGCCCGUCCAGUCAGGCGUGAAAGCCCCGGGCUCAACCUGGGAACGGCGCUUGAUACGGGCGAGCUCGAGUCCGGGAGAGGAUGGCGGAAUUCCCAGUGUAGAGGUGAAAUUCGUAGAUAUUGGGAAGAACACCGGUGGCGAAGGCGGCUACCUGGACCGGACCUGACGCUGAGGUGCGAAAGCGUGGGGAGCAAACAGGAUUAGAAACCCCAGUAGUCC